CCGGCGACCGGCGGACGGGUGUGUAACGCGUAUGUAACCUACCUUUGACAGGGGGAUAACAUCGAGAAAUUGGUACUAAUACCCCAUAACAUCACCGGAGGCAUCUUCGGUGGUUGAAAACUCAGGUGGUCAGAGAUGGACAUGCGUUGUAUUAGCUAGUUGGUGAGGUAACGGCUCACCAAGGCGACGAUACAUAGGGGGACUGAGAGGUCAACCCCCCACAUUGGUACUGAGACACGGACCAAACUCCUACGGGAGGCAGCAG
This 265-nucleotide ribosomal RNA is filed under the name uncultured bacterium. Its description in RNAcentral is "partial 16S ribosomal RNA". It matches the Rfam family "Bacterial small subunit ribosomal RNA", at positions 88 to 354 of the family's 1533-position model. The record is from RNAcentral.